GAUGAACGCUGGCGGCGUGCCUAAUACAUGCAAGUCGAGCGAACAGACGAGGAGCUUGCUCCUCUGACGUUAGCGGCGGACGGGUGAGUAACACGUGGAUAACCUACCUAUAAGACUUGGAUAACUUCGGGAAACCGGAGCUAAUACCGGAUAAUAUAUUCAACCGCAUGGUUCAAUAGUGAAACACGGUUUUGCUGUCACUUAUAGAUGGAUCCGCGCCGCAUUAGCUAGUUGGUAAGGUAACGGCUUACCAAGGCAACGAUGCGUAUCCGACCUGAGAGGGUGAUCGGCCACACUGGAACUGAGACACGGUCCAGACUCCUACGGGAGGCAGCAGUAGGGAAUCUUCCGCAAUGGGCGAAAGCCUGACGGAGCAACGCCGCGUGAGUGAUGAAGGUCUUCGGAUCGUAAAACUCUGUUAUUAGGGAAGAACAAAUGUGUAAGUAACUAUGCACGUCUUGACGGUACCUAAUCAGAAAGCCACGGCUAACUACGUG
RNAcentral lists this ribosomal RNA (497 nucleotides) under uncultured bacterium. Its description in RNAcentral is "partial 16S ribosomal RNA". It matches the Rfam family "Bacterial small subunit ribosomal RNA", at positions 28 to 507 of the family's 1533-position model. The record is from RNAcentral.